Molecule: ribosomal RNA, 398 nt
Filed under: uncultured bacterium
Lineage: Bacteria
Description: bacterial SSU rRNA
Rfam family: Bacterial small subunit ribosomal RNA
Source: RNAcentral
CUGGGCUCGAACGGCUCACGAACGUCCUUGGAAACAGGGAUUUCCCGCAAGGGACGGGAGUCGAGGUGCUGCAUGGCUGUCGUCAGCUCGUGUCGUGAGAUGUUGGGUUAAGUCCCGCAACGAGCGCAACCCUUGUCCUGUGUUGCCAUCAUUCAGUUGGGAACUCGCAGGAGACCGCCAGCGAUAAGCUGGAGGAAGGUGGGGAUGACGUCAAGUCCUCAUGGCCUUUAUGUCCAGGGCUACACACGUGCUACAAUGGCCGGUACAAUGCGCUGCUAAGUCGCAAGACGGAGCCAAUCGCAAAAAACCGGUCUCAGUUCGGAUUGCAGGCUGCAACUCGCCUGCAUGAAGCUGGAAUCGCUAGUAAUGGCAUAUCAGAACGAUGCCGUGAAUACGUU